RNAcentral lists this ribosomal RNA (497 nucleotides) under uncultured bacterium. Its description in RNAcentral is "partial 16S ribosomal RNA". It matches the Rfam family "Bacterial small subunit ribosomal RNA", at positions 28 to 507 of the family's 1533-position model. The record is from RNAcentral.
GAUGAACGCUGGCGGCGUGCCUAAUACAUGCAAGUCGAGCGAACGGACGAGAAGCUUGCUUUUCUGAUGUUAGCGGCGGACGGGUGAGUAACACGUGGAUAACCUACCUAUAAGACUGGGAUAACUUCGGGAAACCGGAGCUAAUACCGGGUAAUAUUUUGAACCGCAUGGUUCAAAAGUGAAAGACGGUCUUGCUGUCACUUAUAGAUGGAUCCGCGCUGCAUUAGCUAGUUGGUAAGGUAACGGCUUACCAAGGCAACGAUGCAUAGCCGACCUGAGAGGGUGAUCGGCCACACUGGAACUGAGACACGGUCCAGACUCCUACGGGAGGCAGCAGUAGGGAAUCUUCCGCAAUGGGCGAAAGCCUGACGGAGCAACGACGCGUGAGUGAUGAAGGUCUUCGGAUCGUAAAACUCUGUUAUUAGGGAAGAACAUAUGUGUAAGUAACUGUGCACAUCUUGACGGUACCUAAUCAGAAAGCCACGGCUAACUACGGG